CCUACGGGGGGCAGCAGUGAGGAAUAUUGGUCAAUGGUCGGGAGACUGAACCAGCCAAGCCGCGUGAGGGAUGAAGGUACAGAGUAUCGUAAACCUCUUUUGUCAGGGAACAAAGGCGGGGACGCGUCCCCGGAUGAGUGUACCUGAAGAAAAAGCAUCGGCUAACUCCGUGCCAGCAGCCGCGGUAAUACGGAGGAUGCGAGCGUUAUCCGGAUUUAUUGGGUUUAAAGGGUGCGCAGGGGGUUUUUUAAGUCAGCGGGCAAAGCGGGGGGCUCAACCCCGACACGGCCGUUGAACCUGGCAGUCUCGAGUGGGAGAGAAGUAUGCGGAAUGCGUGGUGUAGCGGUGAAAUGCAUAGAUAUCGCGCAGAACUCCGAUUGCGAAGGCAGCAUGCCGGCUCCACACUGACGCUGAGGCACGAAAGCGUGGGGAUCGAACAGGAUUAGAUACCCUUGUAGUC
This 460-nucleotide ribosomal RNA is filed under the name uncultured bacterium. RNAcentral's name for it is "partial 16S ribosomal RNA". It matches the Rfam family "Bacterial small subunit ribosomal RNA", at positions 338 to 795 of the family's 1533-position model. The record is from RNAcentral.